GAAAGAGAGCGACUGCCUCUACUACAUUAGCGAUUACACGAUGAAAGUGAUCACCUGUCAAGUAAAUUACAGUGCUUGUAUUUCUCAACAGGAAAUUAGAGAAGAGUCCUGCCGUGUGCACGUCUGAGGAUGAAGUUGAACUCAAAAAGGAGCUGCAAGUGGACCAUAAAAGGAAGUCUUGAAUUUAAGGUCAGCCGCCGUCUUUCUGCAGCACAGACCUUCCAGAUGUGGUGGCUAAGCUCAUUUUCCAGCACUUUCGGAGGGGAGCAGAAACUCUGAGGUUGGUCAGUCAGUGGAGUUUCUCUGUCGGAGCACGUGAAAGCAUCGAUAUAAAAGCCAGGAAGCCUCGGCUCCAUGUGGCUGACUUUACUUUCACUGAAGAGGAAAUCGUAUGUGCUUUGAGGAAAAAGUAAGAAUCUAUGCAGGCUAUAUACAGAUCCCAGAUCCAGGCCAGACCAGACCACAUUUUUGGGUAAGUUAUGUCUAGUGGUAAUGAGGCAGUACGCACUCUCGUCGUGUAUUGAUUGUGGCGAUGAGGGGACAGCAGAGAGCCUGCAAACAGGCCUCACACUGGAAACCAACGGUGGUUAAACUCCCUCAUCCAUCCCACAGAUACUACAUAAACUGAGCGUAUAAAAAACCUCUCCGGUCCCACGGAGGAGUUUUUACGUCUGAGCCAAACAUGACACAUCCUCCUCCUCCGUCCUGCAUGCUGUCAUCUCGUCCUGUGGACAUGCUAAGCAGUGUACAAAAGAGGAGAAACGACAGGAACAGCACUUGACAGUGAGCUCAGAUGCACUGUGGAGACUUUUUGUUUGUGGACUUGUUGAUUCGAGUUCAUCUUCCACUCCAGCAGUAGCAGCCCGAGCGUGCCUGGCUGUACUUCCUGAUCCUACAUGACAGUCCGGGAUGUCUUGUUUUGACCACCCCCCACUACCCCCCACCAACCACUCUGACAUGAGGUGACCCCCAAGGAAGACAGUUAAUAAAAAUAAAUGGAUGAACCAGCAUCUCA
This is a long non-coding RNA of Solea senegalensis (Senegalese sole), 1015 nucleotides long. RefSeq lists it as uncharacterized. The record is from RefSeq and is a predicted model, not a curated record. NCBI's taxonomy places the organism in Eukaryota, Metazoa, Chordata, Actinopteri, Pleuronectiformes, Soleidae. The transcript is spliced from 2 exons.